GACGAACGCUGGCGGCAAGCUUAACACAUGCAAGUCGAACGCCGUAGCAAUACGGAGUGGCAGACGGGUGAGUAACGCGUGGGAACGUGCCUUUCGGUUCGGAACAACUGAGGGAAACUUCAGCUAAAACCGGAUACGCCCUUCGGGGGAAAGUUUACGCCGAAAGAUCGCCCCGCGUUAGAUUAGCUAGUUGGUGGGGUAAUGGCCUACCAAGGCUACGAUCUAUAGCUGUUCUGAGAGGAAGAUCAGCCACACUGUGACUGCGAACCGGCCCAGAAUCCUACGGGAGGCAGCAGUGGGGAAUAUUGGACAAUGGGCGCAAGCCGGAUCCAGCUAUGCCGCGUGGAUGAAGAAGGCCUUAGGGUUGUAAAGUCCUUUCGUUGGUGAAGAUAAUGACGGUAACCAAAGAAGAAGCCCCGGCUAAUUUCGUGCCAGCCGCCGCCGUAA
Molecule: ribosomal RNA, 447 nt
Filed under: uncultured bacterium
Lineage: Bacteria
Description: partial 16S ribosomal RNA
Rfam family: Bacterial small subunit ribosomal RNA
Source: RNAcentral